Molecule: unclassified non-coding RNA, 387 nt
Filed under: soil metagenome
Description: partial contains 5.8S ribosomal RNA, internal transcribed spacer 2, and large subunit ribosomal RNA
Rfam family: 5.8S ribosomal RNA (bases 1-120)
Source: RNAcentral
GAUGAAGAACGUAGCGAAAUGCGAUAAGUAAUGUGAAUUGCAGAAUUCAGUGAAUCAUCGAAUCUUUGAACGCACCUUGCACCCUUUGGCAUUCCGAAGGGUAUGCUCGUUUGAGUGUCAUUGUACUCUCACACUCUCUGAUCCUUUGGAUUCAGGGAGCGGUGGACUUGGGUGUUUGCUGCUUUCCUUGUGGCUCACCUGUAAUGUGUUAGUGCACCUCUUGGUUGGACAUAGAACGGCGUGAUAAGUGUCUUCGCCGGCACCUCGCAAGAGGGUGGCCAAUUGGGAGCUCUGUGCUUUCAAACCGUCUUCGGACAAUCUCUGACAACUUGACCUCAAAUCGAGUAGGACUACCCGCUGAACUUAAGCAUAUCAAUAAGCGGAGGA